GGCCGGCCCCCAUCUUUACUGCAAAUGCUCCUCUAUGGACCAAGCUGUCUUAAAUAUUUCAUCACUGAGCAUACUGUACUAGGCCAUCAGUAUUGACAACCCAACUACAAUCAUGGUGCUUUUUGUAGCAGAAAAGUAGUGGGUGGUACCUUGGGCAAUCUACCAAUAUCAGACAUAUUACCCCUCUCUGCCCGAUUUUCGUGAAGAGAAGCAUUGUUCAAGAAAUCAAAAUCAAUUGACCAAUACAAAGCAAUGGAUGACAAACGAAAGCUAUUAAUAAAAGCAAUUUCCCUAACACUGGCAGUCCUUUUGCUUCUUCUCUCUGUGCUCAUCAUAAUUGUUUACCUUUGUUACUUUCCAGCCGAGGCC
This 369-nucleotide small RNA is filed under the name Histoplasma capsulatum. RNAcentral describes it as "hypothetical RNA". Lineage: Eukaryota; Fungi; Ascomycota; Eurotiomycetes; Onygenales; Ajellomycetaceae. The record is from RNAcentral. RNAcentral also lists the same sequence under 1 other name.